RNAcentral lists this transfer RNA (85 nucleotides) under Candidatus Hydrothermarchaeota archaeon. Its description in RNAcentral is "tRNA-Leu". It matches the Rfam family "tRNA". From Rfam's summary of the family: Transfer RNA (tRNA) molecules are approximately 80 nucleotides in length. Their secondary structure includes four short double-helical elements and three loops (D, anti-codon, and T loops). Lineage: Archaea; Methanobacteriati; Candidatus Hydrothermarchaeota. RNAcentral also lists the same sequence under 1 other name. The record is from RNAcentral.
GCGGGGGUACCCAAGAUGGCCAAAGGGGGCAGACUUAAGAUCUGCUGGCUUAGUGCCUGCGUGGGUUCAAAUCCCACCCCCCGCA